AUACGGAGGGUGCAAGCGUUAUUCGGAAUCACUGGGCGUGAAGGGUGCGUAGGCGGUUUGAUAAGUCUGAUGUGAAAUCCUAUGGCUCAACCAUAGAACUGCAUUGGAAACUGUCAGACUAGAAUACUGAAGGGGCAGAUGGAAUUAGUGGUGUAGGGGUAAAAUCCGUAGAUAUCACUAGGAAUACCGAAAGCGAAAGCGAUCUGCUGGGAAGUUAUUGACGCUGAGGCACGAAAGCGUGGGGAGCAAACGGGAUUAGAUACCCGGGUAGUCC
RNAcentral lists this ribosomal RNA (274 nucleotides) under uncultured bacterium. Its description in RNAcentral is "partial 16S ribosomal RNA". It matches the Rfam family "Bacterial small subunit ribosomal RNA", at positions 523 to 796 of the family's 1533-position model. The record is from RNAcentral.